CCGGCGCCCCCGCUCGGGGCCACCGAAGGGUCUGGGGGCUCGGGGAGGGGGGAGGCGCGAUCCGAGUCCGUGGGAGCCUCCCCAGCCCCGCAGUCCCAGCAGCACACCGAGCUUGGUCGGACGGAUGCUCGCGCUGAGCCCUUCACGCCACCCCUGCGGAGACCCGGGAAGAGGUAAAACCUGAGCCCCUUUGGCACAAGAUGGGGGUGCCACGUGGGAUCUGGCCUUGACCGUGACAUUCUUGAUUCCACUUCCUGCCGCGCUGUUUUCUCCGCCACUACCCUGCGGUGGCGGGUCCGAAGCUGAGAGAAGAGCUAAUUUGGGAGCCCUGACUCCCAAGCUAGCAAGAAGCUACCGAAAUCCUUCACGAAUCCAGAGCUUUGAGAAGGGCAGCUCUACCUGCACUCCUGAGUUUAGGAAACCUGCGCGCAGAUCAGGGAGAUGCGGAAGCAUCAACCGGACAGCUUGUGUGGAUCCCGUGCCCACGGUGGAGACAGCUUUACUGGAAGCUCUGCCUUCGGGGAGUAAGAAAAGCUGAUGAAGAAUGACACUUCCGUCCUUUCAUCCACUAAAAAACAGGUGGCGGGACUUCCCUGGCGGUCCACUGGUUAAGACUCCAUGCUUCCAAUGCAGGGGGUGCAGGUUUGAUCCCUGGUCGGGGAACUAAGAUCCCACAAGCCGCGCAGCGCAGCAAAACCAACCAACCAACCAACCAACCAACAAAAGUAGGUGUGUGGACUGGACCCUGGAACAAAGGACAUUAGUGGAAAAACUGGUGAAAUCCAAAUAAGUCUGGAGUUUAUAUCAUCGUAUUGUAGAAACGUUAACUUCCUAGUUUUGAAAAAUGUACCAUGGUUGUAUAACGCGUUAAUGUUUGGGGAAUCUGGAUGAAGGGUAUACGGAACUCUGUACUACCUGCAAUU
Molecule: long non-coding RNA, 923 nt
Organism: Globicephala melas (long-finned pilot whale)
Lineage: Eukaryota; Metazoa; Chordata; Mammalia; Artiodactyla; Delphinidae
Source: RefSeq, a predicted model, not a curated record